Molecule: ribosomal RNA, 301 nt
Filed under: uncultured bacterium
Lineage: Bacteria
Description: partial 16S ribosomal RNA
Rfam family: Bacterial small subunit ribosomal RNA
Source: RNAcentral
CAGCAGCCGCGGUAAUACGUAGGGUCCGAGCGUUGUCCGGAAUUAUUGGGCGUAAAGGGCUCGUAGGCGGUUUGUUGCGUCGGGAGUGAAAACACCAGGCUUAACUUGGUGCUUGCUUUCGAUACGGGCAGACUUGAGGCAUGCAGGGGAGAACGGAAUUCCUGGUGUAGCGGUGAAAUGCGCAGAUAUCAGGUGGAACACCGGUGGCGAAGGCGGUUCUCUGGGCAUGUUCUGACGCUGAGGAGCGAAAGUGUGGGGAGCGAACAGGAUUAGAUACCCCUGUAGUCCCUGUCUCUUAUAC